GGGAGUGUGGCGGAAUUGGUAGACGCACCAGAUUUAGGUUCUGGCGCUGCAAAGCGUGAGAGUUCAAGUCUCUCGACUCCCA
Molecule: transfer RNA, 82 nt
Filed under: Tenuicylindrus belgicus
Lineage: Eukaryota; Bacillariophyta; Leptocylindrophyceae; Leptocylindrales; Leptocylindraceae
Description: tRNA-Leu
Rfam family: tRNA
About the family: Transfer RNA (tRNA) molecules are approximately 80 nucleotides in length. Their secondary structure includes four short double-helical elements and three loops (D, anti-codon, and T loops). Further hydrogen bonds mediate the characteristic L-shaped molecular structure. tRNAs have two regions of fundamental functional importance: the anti-codon, which is responsible for specific mRNA codon recognition, and the 3' end, to which the tRNAs corresponding amino acid is attached (by aminoacyl-tRNA synthetases). tRNAs cope with the degeneracy of the genetic code in two manners: having more than one tRNA (with a specific anti-codon) for a particular amino acid; and 'wobble' base-pairing, i.e. permitting non-standard base-pairing at the 3rd anti-codon position.
Source: RNAcentral